Molecule: long non-coding RNA, 338 nt
Filed under: Elaeis guineensis (African oil palm)
Lineage: Eukaryota; Viridiplantae; Streptophyta; Magnoliopsida; Arecales; Arecaceae
Description: long non-coding RNA (EGUI_LNC008049)
Source: RNAcentral
GGUAUCCAAAGGACUUCAUCAAAAUGCAGGCCUGGAUGAAGAAAUACACGAACGCUAAGGAAGCCAUGGCACUACUCAAAGAGUCACCGAAUAACAAACCCUGAGAAAGGAAGGAAAGUAUUUGAGGACAAGAGGGGUGAAUCAAGAUGUGAAGGCCGUCGAAGUGGGAAAAAGUUGCGGCAAUCAUGGACUCCUUACAAUAACCAAUCUAGAAUGCCACUCUAAAAUCAUCAAUCUUAAACUCCACCUCGAAAAUUUGAGACCUAUACUCCUUUUAAUGCACCUCAUGCCCAAAUACUCAUAGGGAUAGUAAGGCUAGGACGAUCUGCCACCACCCA